AUUGAACGCUGGCGGCAGGCCUAACACAUGCAAGUCGAGCGAGCGGCGGACGGGUGAGUAAUGUCUGGGAAACUGCCUGAUGGAGGGGGAUAACUACUGUAAACGAUAGCUAAUACCGCAUACCAUCAGAUGUGCCCAGAUGGGAUUAGCGGGUAGGUGGGGUAUAGGCUCACCUAGGCGACGAUCCCGAGCUGGUCUGAGAGGAUGACCAGCAACACUGGAACGGAGACACGGGCCAGACUCCGACGGGAGGCAGCAGUGGGGAAUAUUGCACAAGGGGCGCAAGCCUGAUGCAGCCAUGCCGCGGGUGUGAAGAAGGCCGUCGGGUUGUAAAGCACUUUCAGCGGGGAGGCGUUACCCGCAGAAGAAGCACCGGCUAACUCCGUGCCAGCAGCCGCGGUAAUAC
Molecule: ribosomal RNA, 406 nt
Filed under: uncultured bacterium
Lineage: Bacteria
Description: partial 16S ribosomal RNA
Rfam family: Bacterial small subunit ribosomal RNA
Source: RNAcentral